AAUAAGUGUAGGCAUGAGUUUCCGCGUCUAACUUUGACCGUCCGUCUUAUUUAAAAAAUUUUUAUAAUUAGUAUUUUUGUUGAUAUAAGAUGAUAAAACAUGAAUAGUAUUUUACUUAUGACUUAUGUUUUUAGUUUUUUUUAAAAAAAAUUUUCAUAUAAGACGAAUGGUCAAAAUUGGGCGCGAAAAACCAUGGGUGCACUUAUU
Molecule: microRNA precursor, 207 nt
Organism: Oryza sativa Indica Group (long-grained rice)
Lineage: Eukaryota; Viridiplantae; Streptophyta; Magnoliopsida; Poales; Poaceae
Rfam family: MIR812 microRNA precursor family
Source: Rfam